RNAcentral lists this ribosomal RNA (472 nucleotides) under uncultured bacterium. RNAcentral describes it as "partial 16S ribosomal RNA". It matches the Rfam family "Bacterial small subunit ribosomal RNA", at positions 28 to 507 of the family's 1533-position model. The record is from RNAcentral.
GACGAACGCUGGCGGCGUGCUUAACACAUGCAAGUCGAACGCUGAAGCUUGGUGCUUGCACUGGGUGGAUGAGUGGCGAACGGGUGAGUAAUACGUGAGUAACCUGCCCUUGACUCUGGGAUAAGCCUGGGAAACUGGGUCUAAUACUGGAUACGACAUGCCACUGCAUGGUGGUGUGUGGAAAGGGUUUUACUGGUUUUGGAUGGGCUCACGGCCUAUCAGCUUGUUGGUGGGGUAAUGGCCUACCAAGGCGACGACGGGUAGCCGGCCUGAGAGGGUGACCGGCCACACUGGGACUGAGACACGGCCCAGACUCCUACGGGGGGCAGCAGUGGGGAAUAUUGCACAAUGGGCGGAAGCCUGAUGCAGCGACGCCGCGUGAGGGAUGACGGCCUUCGGGUUGUAAACCUCUUUCAGCACGGAAGAAGCGAGAGUGACGGUACGUGCAGAAGAAGCGCCGGCUAACUACGUG